RNAcentral lists this ribosomal RNA (305 nucleotides) under uncultured bacterium. RNAcentral describes it as "bacterial SSU rRNA". It matches the Rfam family "Bacterial small subunit ribosomal RNA", at positions 334 to 653 of the family's 1533-position model. The record is from RNAcentral.
GACACCUACGGGAUGCAGCAGUGGGGAAUAUUGGGCAAUGGGCGCAAGCCUGACCCAGCAACGCCGCGUGAAGGAAGAAGGCUUUCGGGUUGUAAACUUCUUUUCUCAGGGACGAAGCAAGUGACGGUACCUGAGGAAUAAGCCACGGCUAACUACGUGCCAGCAGCCGCGGUAAUACGUAGGUGGCAAGCGUUAUCCGGAUUUACUGGGUGUAAAGGGCGUGUAGGCGGGAAAGCAAGUCAGAUGUGAAAACCACGGGCUCAACCUGUGGCCUGCAUUUGAAACUGUUUUUCUUGAGUACUGGA